This 542-nucleotide long non-coding RNA is filed under the name Brassica napus (rape). RNAcentral describes it as "long non-coding RNA (BNAP_LNC019069)". The record is from RNAcentral. Lineage: Eukaryota; Viridiplantae; Streptophyta; Magnoliopsida; Brassicales; Brassicaceae.
AAUUAAAAAAAAUUAAAUUUUUUUUUAUAAUAUUAUAUAAACUGUUAAAAUAUUUUAUACUAUAACAUACCAUUAAAAUAGAAUAAUAUAUAAUAUUUACAAUAUAUUAUUUAUGAAUUCAUAUUGAUAGCUUGAGAAGAACAUAAAAGAAAUAUAAAAAUCUAUAGCUUUGGUCAGAGAAAUCUAUACAAAUCAACUCAUUUCAUUAGCAUUUAUUUUAUCAUGAAUAAAAGUAUUUAAUAUAAAAUAACACGAGCUGACAAAAAAAAAUAUAUAUAUAUAAAAUAACACGUAGAAAUGAUAAAAUAGCCUUCAUUAAACAAUUUAAAACUAAAUUAUCCUUAACAAAUAAUAUAUUCAAAUAAAAAAAAUUAAAAAUGUUUACUACGAAUAAAUUAAAUCUUGUUGCUUCAAAUUUUGUAUCUUAUGUUCUUCUCAAGCUAUUAAUAUGAAUUCAUAAAUAACAUAUUGUAUCUAAAAGCAUAAAUUCUAAACAUUAAAUUCUAACCCCUGAAUCUACAUCCUACCCUAACAAUAUAAAU